AGAGUUUGAUCAUGGCUCAGAUUGAACGCUGGCGGCAGGCCUAACACAUGCAAGUCGAACGGUAACAGGAAACAGCUUGCUGUUUCGCUGACGAGUGGCGGACGGGUGAGUAAUGUCUGGGAAACUGCCCGAUGGAGGGGGAUAACUACUGGAAACGGUAGCUAAUACCGCAUAACGUCGCAAGACCAAAGAGGGGGACCUUAGGGCCUCUUGCCAUCGGAUGUGCCCAGAUGGGAUUAGCUAGUAGGUGGGGUAACGGCUCACCUAGGCGACGAUCCCUAGCUGGUCUGAGAGGAUGACCAGCCACACUGGAACUGAGACACGGUCCAGACUCCUACGGGAGGCAGCAGUGGGGAAUAUUGCACAAUGGGCGCAAGCCUGAUGCAGCCAUGCCGCGUGUAUGAAGAAGGCCUUCGGGUUGUAAAGUACUUUCAGCGGGGAGGAAGGGAGUAAAGUUAAUACCUUUGCUCAUUGACGUUACCCGCAGAAGAAGCACCGGCUAACUCCGUGCCAGCAGCCGCGGUAAUACGGAGGGUGCAAGCGUUAAUCGGAAUUACUGGGCGUAAAGCGCACGCAGGCGGUUUGUUAAGUCAGAUGUGAAAUCCCCGGGCUCAACCUGGGAACUGCAUCUGAUACUGGCAAGCUUGAGUCUCGUAGAGGGGGGUAGAAUUCCAGGUGUAGCGGUGAAAUGCGUAGAGAUCUGGAGGAAUACCGGUGGCGAAGGCGGCCCCCUGGACGAAGACUGACGCUCAGGUGCGAAAGCGUGGGGAGCAAACAGGAUUAGAUACCCUGGUAGUCCACGCCGUAAACGAUGUCGACUUGGAGGUUGUGCCCUUGAGGCGUGGCUUCCGGAGCUAACGCGUUAAGUCGACCGCCUGGGGAGUACGGCCGCAAGGUUAAAACUCAAAUGAAUUGACGGGGGCCCGCACAAGCGGUGGAGCAUGUGGUUUAAUUCGAUGCAACGCGAAGAACCUUACCUGGUCUUGACAUCCACGGAAGUUUUCAGAGAUGAGAAUGUGCCUUCGGGAACCGUGAGACAGGUGCUGCAUGGCUGUCGUCAGCUCGUGUUGUGAAAUGUUGGGUUAAGUCCCGCAACGAGCGCAACCCUUAUCCUUUGUUGCCAGCGGUCCGGCCGGGAACUCAAAGGAGACUGCCAGUGAUAAACUGGAGGAAGGUGGGGAUGACGUCAAGUCAUCAUGGCCCUUACGACCAGGGCUACACACGUGCUACAAUGGCGCAUACAAAGAGAAGCGACCUCGCGAGAGCAAGCGGACCUCAUAAAGUGCGUCGUAGUCCGGAUUGGAGUCUGCAACUCGACUCCAUGAAGUCGGAAUCGCUAGUAAUCGUGGAUCAGAAUGCCACGGUGAAUACGUUCCCGGGCCUUGUACACACCGCCCGUCACACCAUGGGAGUGGGUUGCAAAAGAAGUAGGUAGCUUAACCUUCGGGAGGGCGCUUACCACUUUGUGAUUCAUGACUGGGGUGAAGUCGUAACAAGGUAACCGUAGGGGAACCUGCGGUUGGAUCACCU
RNAcentral lists this ribosomal RNA (1530 nucleotides) under Escherichia coli KTE194. Its description in RNAcentral is "bacterial SSU rRNA". It matches the Rfam family "Bacterial small subunit ribosomal RNA". Lineage: Bacteria; Pseudomonadati; Pseudomonadota; Gammaproteobacteria; Enterobacterales; Enterobacteriaceae. RNAcentral also lists the same sequence under 1 other name. The record is from RNAcentral.